RNAcentral lists this long non-coding RNA (495 nucleotides) under Sinocyclocheilus anshuiensis. RNAcentral describes it as "lncRNA (ENSSANG00000005266.1)". Lineage: Eukaryota; Metazoa; Chordata; Actinopteri; Cypriniformes; Cyprinidae. The record is from RNAcentral.
GGAGGUGUAAAGCUGUGAAGGUGCUUUGACUUCCCUACGAACUCCAGGUGAAGCUCUGAGACGGUAUGGAAAUCUGUCUCGCCCAUAUGGAGGUAAAUCAUCGGUGACCUCUGUGAUCACGGGUUGCCUGAAAACAUCACUGUGGUGUUUGCAGGCGUUUUUUAGAGAUGAUGGAAGGAGAAAUAACCUACUUUGUUGCUUUUGACUUCAGGAUGAGGAAACUCUGUAUAUGCAUAUACAUGUGGCAGGAGAUGAAGGCGAGUACCUAUGUACAUAACUGUAAUAUAUGAAACACGGUAAAUACACAAUUUUGCAGUUGUGCGAGUUGUUUGCUAAACUGAGCACAACCGUUUGUUGUCGAACUCACAGCAGUUCAUUAUUAUUGCAAGUGGGGAAAUAACUUUUUUUCUUUUAAAGUAUGUGAAGUUAAAUAUUUAAAUGUGUACUGUACACUAGCAGGUAUCAAAUUUCAUGAAAAUGUUAAAUAAAAUUCCU